GUUACGGGCCAGGUGCGCGCAGCGCAGCCAGGUGCGGGGCGGGGGCCCAGGCAGGACCGUGAGGCUCGUGGACUUGGGCGCCAAGGAGAAGGGAACGCGAGGGGAACGCGAGGGGAACGCGGGAGCUGCUCAGACUCAGGCAGCGCCCCGCACGCUCCCUCAGGGUCACCCCACACCGCUCUUCCAGGAUCGCCCCACAGCCCUCCUGUGACACCUCGAUCCUCCUCCAGGGACAACCUGCACACUUCCCCAGGGUCACCUGAGCUCGAGGGCUGGUGACUUGGAAACCUUGGAAACCAGUCCGGCAGGACCCACCCGGACCUGCUGUUGGGCGGCCGCAUUCCAGGCCUGUGCCAUCACUUGGGAAAGAGGGUGCGGGCCUGCCUGGGCUCCAGGGGUGGGCGGGUGGCCGGCCCCCGGCUGCAUACGCACAACCAAAUUCUGCCUGCGAGAAACUCGGGUUGUGAGUCUCACAAAGCUCACUACCUGCGAGGCGAGGGCGCACCCGCGACACUCCAGUCCUGGACAGCCCUGUGCCCCGCGCUGCCCACGGUGGAACCCAGAAAGGCGCUGGGUCCACGCCAGUUCCAGAGCAGGUCCCGAAGAGGUGCUAGUUCUCUGGACACGGGUCCUCCACCUGGUCUCUACUGACACAGUGACACACACACGGACAGAGGCCUUCCUGCACACGGGACAGCACGCAGACCAGCGCCCUUACAGAAACAGAACCCUGAGGACAAAGUGGUGGAGAGAGAAGCAGGACAGGCAGAGGUGGCUUCAACUCAUUCACAGAGGAAAAGUGUCUCUCUUCUCCAACUGCAGCACCCACUAUGAAGGACGUGACAGCAAGACAAGGUAAGAUUGACACCAAGGAUCUUGACUAGGAGGACUACAAAGCUGGGGCUCCCUUGGAGAGAUGGAGGUGAGUGUGGGCAGAGGGCGCUGGUUUGCACCUGAGGAGACAGCGCGGUCUGAACCACAGUGGGUUCUGAGGGGUGAGCUGUGGAUUCACCUUUGGACUGGGAAGCAGGUCUGCUGCGCACACUCUGGGCCCCCAGUGGGGCUGGGGGGAGAUAUUCUCACGGUAGACUCAGUGGGUCCAACGGUCCUGAAGCCAAGGUUGGAUCUGGGCAACCCCAGAAUGACUGUGUUUGCCAAAGCAUGGGACAGCUACUGCUUCCGGCCUAGCCCAAGGGAAAUGGGCAGUGGGUGGAGCUGGAGAGAUUACUCCAGGCGCCAAGUUUGGAGAUGAGACUACAACACUGCAGUAACACCUCUGAGGUUGUGGGAGUUGUUUGAGACUAAUGUACUUUGGAAGCCAUCAUCUUUUUAUUUUUAUUUAAUUCAACAGAUACCUUGAAUGUACUCCUCCAGUCUAACUGAAAUUUUAAUGUGGUGACAGCACCUCCCCAAGUCCCACCCUCAAAGCCCCGGAUGACCACGUUCUGUUUUCUGUUUCUGAGUUCAGCGUUUUUUAGAUUCCCCACAGAUGUGAGAUCCCGCAAUAUUUGGCUUUCUGUUCCUCGUCUAUUUCACUUAACAUAAUGUCCUCCUGGCUCAUCCAUGUCUUCACACUGAUGGACCUCCUUCUCCAUUAAGGCUGGCCGUAUUCCAGCGCGUGUGCAUUUUCCCAACCACCCACACACAUUUGGGUUGAUUCCAUAUCUUGCCUGUGUGAACAUGCAGUAAUGGGCAUGGGAGGGCAGCUGUCUCUGACACUCUGACUUCACUUUCUGUGCGUGUAUACCCAG
This is a non-coding RNA of Heterocephalus glaber (naked mole-rat), 1751 nucleotides long. The record is from RefSeq and is a predicted model, not a curated record. Lineage: Eukaryota; Metazoa; Chordata; Mammalia; Rodentia; Bathyergidae.